AUGUACUUUAACAAGUAUCAGCUGUUUGUUUGGGGUGUAAUGAACAAACUAGAGCCAGAGUGGCAACUGCUUCAAGUAAUUAUGAAGACAGCUUGCAAACUAUGGCCCCACUUGUUUCAGAUUCUGAAUGACGACAAUCAAGCUGCUGUUGCUGCCAGCUUUAUUUCUGAGCACUUUUAUUUCCAUAUUUCAAAGGAUGGAAAAUGUAAGGAAGAGGUGAUCAUCGGUUGCCCCAAGACCACUCGGAUGGAAAGAUUGCAUCUGCAUACUUGCUCCAGUUUCCAGUGGGCUUUCCCUGCUCAGUUUCAGAGGAAUUUUAGAAAACUCCCAGGAAUGAAAACAAAACCCAACCCGGGGAAAGCACAGCUGAAGCACUAUGGGGGAAACUCCAGACAACAGACAUCAACGUGUGAGAUGGCAGAGCACAGAAUCUGGGAACUGGAAAUGAAUGUCUGCUGUCAGAGCAGGAAUGGUCCAAAGCCCUGUGAACUCAGCAGACCAUUUUCCUUUGCUGUGCAAAUCUUCUGUUAA
Molecule: long non-coding RNA, 531 nt
Filed under: Numida meleagris (helmeted guineafowl)
Lineage: Eukaryota; Metazoa; Chordata; Aves; Galliformes; Numididae
Description: lncRNA (ENSNMEG00000006109.1)
Source: RNAcentral